RNAcentral lists this ribosomal RNA (2445 nucleotides) under activated sludge metagenome. Its description in RNAcentral is "bacterial LSU rRNA". It matches the Rfam family "Bacterial large subunit ribosomal RNA", at positions 14 to 2485 of the family's 2925-position model. The record is from RNAcentral.
AGGGCGCAUGGGGGAUGCCUAGGCUAUAGACGACGACGAAGGACGUGGUAAGCUGCGAAAAGCUGCGGGAAGGUGCAAACGACCGCUCGAUCCGCAGAUGUCCGAAUGGGGCAACCCGACCGUCUGAAGGACGGUAGACAAAGUCGGCAACCCGCUGAACUGAAACAUCUAAGUAGGCGGAGGAAAAGAAAAUAACAAUGAUUCCGUAAGUAGUGGCGAGCGAACGCGGAAGAGCCCAAACCGGGGCGUUCACGUCCCGGGGUUGUAGGACCUGUAGGAUUGCCCGACCACCGAGCAGAACGAUUUGGAAAAUUCGACCAAAGGGGGUGAAAGUCCCGUAGGCGAAGGUGGUUGGUCAUGACGGGUAUCCUGAGUAGGGCGGGGCCGGAGAAACCCUGUCUGAAACCGCCGGCACCAUCCGGCAAGGCUAAAUACGAUCUAUAGACCGAUAGUGGACCAGUACCGUGAGGGAAAGGUGAAAAGAACCCUGAGCAAGGGAGUGAAAAGAACCUGAAACCAUGCGCCUACAAGCGGUCGGAGUCCCGAGCGAUCGGGAUGACGGCGUGCCUUUUGUAUAAUGAGCCUACGAGUUGCUCCUCACUAACGAGUCUAAGGCAUUAAGUGCCGCAAGCGCAGCGAAAGCGAGUCCCAACAGGGCGUUUUAGUUAGUGGGGGCAGACGCGAAACCGUGUGAUCUAUCCUUGGGCAGGGUGAAGUUCCGAUAAUCUCGGCAUGGAGGCCCGAACUGGUUAACGUUGAAAAGUUUUCAGAUGACCUGAGGAUAGGGGUGAAAGGCCAAUCAAACUCGGAGAUAGCUCGUACUCCCCGAAAUGCAUUUAGGUGCAGCGUCGUGGAAUGAUUGCCGGAGGUAAAGCUACUGAGAAGGCUAGGGGGUGUCAAAGCCUACCAACCCUUAACAAACUCUGAAUGCCGGCAAUCAGUAGCGGCAGUGAGCCCUGGGGUGCGAAGGUCACAGGGCGAGAGGGGAACAACCCAGACCAACAGCUAAGGCCCCCAAAUCCGUGCUAAGUUGAAUCAAACGAGGUGGGAAUGCAGUGACAGCCAGGAUGUUUGCUUGGAAGCAGCAAUUCAUUUAAAGAGUGCGUAACAGCUCACUGGUCGAGCGUUCCCGCGCGGAAAAUAAACGGGCAUCAAGCACGGUGCCGAAGCUUUGGAUUGGCAGCGAUGCCACUGGUAGGGGAGCAUUCCGGUAUGCGCAGAAGCGGCGUCGCGAGGGGCCGUGGAGUUUCCGGAAAAGAAAAUGUAGGCAUGAGUAACGAUAAUGGAGCUGGAAAUGCUCCACGCCGCAAGACUAAGGGUUCCUGAUCCAUGUUCAUCAGAUCAGGGUGAGUCGGAUCCUAAGGAUAAGCCGAAGGGCGAAGCCGAUGGUGAACUGGCGAAGAUUCCAGUACUUGCGCGCACUGCGAUGUGGCGACGGAGAAGCGUAAGGGCUGCGUGCUGACGGAAUAGCACGUUGAAGCGCGUAGGUUAUGAGGGGCCAAGGCAAACCCGGGCCCCGAGCUGAAACGCGAUAGUACGCCGCGUCCUCCGGGACAAGGCGAUAACGCCCCCAAGCAUGCUUCCAGGAAAACCCACUAAGCUCCAGGUGCGCGCAACCCGUACCGUAAACCGACACAGGUAGUCGAGGAGAAUAUCCUAAGGCGCUCGAAUGAUCCGUGGCUAAGGAACUCGGCAAAAUGACCUCGUAACUUCGGGAGAAGAGGUCCCCCCAGCGAUGGGGGGCACAGUAAAAAGGCCCAGGCGACUGUUUAACACAAACACAGGACUCUGCAAACUCGCAAGAUGAAGUAUAGGGUCUGACACCUGCCCGGUGCCGGAAGGUUAAGGAAGGGGGUUAGCCGCAAGGCGAAGCUCUUGACCGAAGCCCCGGUAAACGGCGGCCGUAACUAUAACGGUCCUAAGGUAGCGAAAUUCCUUGUCGGGUAAGUUCCGACCUGCACGAAUGGUGUAACGAUCUGGGCACUGUCUCAGCCACGAGCUCGGUGAAAUUGAAGUAUCGGUGAAGAUGCCGAUUACCCGCAACGGGACGGAAAGACCCCGUGAACCUUUACUACAACUUUGCAUUGGGCUUGAACUGACGAUGUGUAGGAUAGGUGGGAGGCUAUGAAGCUGGGACGCCAGUCUCGGUGGAGCCAACGUUGAAAUACCACCCUUUGGCUGUUUGAGUCCUAAUCCCGAUGGGUCGGGAGACAUUGCAUGGUGGGUAGUUUGACUGGGGUGGUCGCCUCCCAAAGAAUAACGGAGGCUCGCAAAGGUGCCCUCAGCAUGGUCGGUAAUCAUGCGAAGAGCGUAUUAGUACAAGGGCGCUUGACUGAGAGAGCGACGGCUCGACCAGGUACGAAAGUAGGCUAAAGUGAUCCGGUGGCACCGCAUGGAAGGGCCAUCGCUCAAAGGAUAAAAGGUACUCCGGGGAUAACAGGCUGA